GCCGAAGUGGUGGAACUGGCAGACGCGCCGGACUCAAAAUCCGGUGGGGCUCACACCCCGUGCGGGUUCGACUCCCGCCUUCGGCACCA
This 89-nucleotide transfer RNA is filed under the name Thermoanaerobacter sp. RNAcentral describes it as "tRNA-Leu". It matches the Rfam family "tRNA". From Rfam's summary of the family: Transfer RNA (tRNA) molecules are approximately 80 nucleotides in length. Their secondary structure includes four short double-helical elements and three loops (D, anti-codon, and T loops). RNAcentral also lists the same sequence under 15 other names. Lineage: Bacteria; Bacillati; Bacillota; Clostridia; Thermoanaerobacterales; Thermoanaerobacteraceae. The record is from RNAcentral.